AGGAGGAGCUGGCAUUCCCUGGGAGCUCCCAGCCAAUAUGGAGCCUCCAAACGAGGCUGCAGGAAGAGCCUGCUGCGGGCUAGCGACGGAGGGCUCGGAGAGGUCAGCCGCACGUCUGCCAGGACUGCCCUGCCCUAGAUUAAAGAUGUCUUCUCUUAUGUAACACUUUCUGAAAACACCGCUUCCCAGGCAAACCUCAGCUGUGAUCCGAACAGGCUCCUAUUGACUGAGAGCAAAGCCUGGGAUGACUAAGGUGCAUUGUAAUAAUGGGCCUCCAUGCCGGAGGAUUAGCAUGUAACAUUCAGAAAUCAUUACACAACCCUCACAUAGCGAGCCUUCAAUCAGCCAGGGCAGUUGGGUCAACGAAUGCCAUUCUUCUGCAAUCAUGUCCACAAAUGCCAAAAUACACACGCUUACUCCCGACUUUUUUUUAAAGGAAGAAAAAUAAAUAAGAUCCCGAGUAUUUCCUACAGGGAAAUAAGAAGAUCAGGGCUGUUGGGAGUAAUUCGCUCUGCCGGCCACAGAGUAACACCAGAACACGCAGAAAUGGGUUGCCACAUCACUAAAGAAGAACGUGCAGACUCAGCUCGAGGGACAUUUUGUACCCACCGAAGUCUAGCCUGCUCACCCCAGUUACUCACCCCAACCUGCUACAGAAAAUAUUUUGCAUGUAAUUUGCAUUUAUCCAUCUGAUACGAAUAAAAGCAAUUCCAGGGCAACCA
Molecule: long non-coding RNA, 722 nt
Filed under: Monodelphis domestica (gray short-tailed opossum)
Lineage: Eukaryota; Metazoa; Chordata; Mammalia; Didelphimorphia; Didelphidae
Description: lncRNA (ENSMODG00000036716.1)
Source: RNAcentral